UCAUGUUUAACUCUUGCUUUCUGAUGACUUUGUCAAUACGAUGCUAGUUGAUGAAUUGGUUUUUUUGUAGGAUCCUAAGUGCAUUAUAUGUCAGCAAUAUCAGUUGUAUGUGAUUGUAGGCCAUCUGCUUUUGUUUGUCUUGAGCACUAGCAACACAUCUGUGAAUGCAAACCCAGCAAACAUUGCUUCCUUGACCGUCAUACAUUAGCAGAGUUAAAGUGACUUGCUGCUCACUGUCGAUAAAUACAAUGGUGAGGAGACUCAAAGGAGUAAGGUGCUCCAGCAAAGAUCUUUCUCCAGCGAAACAAGUUCUUCAGCGAAAAGGUAAAAGGUGGCCAUGCUACUUUGGCUCAUCUUGCGGAUCAAUGGCUGUUGCAGUCAACCGAUGCUCUUAAAAAUCCUUUCUCUAAGGAUAUUUAUCAAAAACUGUUGAAAGAAGGUGAACAAUUUCUUUGGGCUGGUUUUGACAUGGAUCCUGUUAGU
Long non-coding RNA from Eucalyptus grandis, 483 nucleotides. RefSeq lists it as uncharacterized. NCBI's taxonomy places the organism in Eukaryota, Viridiplantae, Streptophyta, Magnoliopsida, Myrtales, Myrtaceae. The record is from RefSeq and is a predicted model, not a curated record. The transcript has 3 exons.